Molecule: ribosomal RNA, 251 nt
Filed under: uncultured bacterium
Lineage: Bacteria
Description: partial 16S ribosomal RNA
Rfam family: Bacterial small subunit ribosomal RNA
Source: RNAcentral
AGUCGAACGGGUAGUAAUACUAGUGGCGCACGGGUGAGUAACAUGUGGGAAUCUGCCUUAAAGUUUGGGAUAACUGCGGGAAACUGUAGCUAAUACCGAAUAUACUGGAAACAGGAAAGAAGAAAUUCGCUUUAAGAUGAGCCCGCACCUGAUUAGCUAGUUGGUGGGGUAAAGGCCUACCAAGGCGAUGAUCAGUAGCUGUUCUGAGAGGAAGAUCAGCCACACUGGGACUGAGACACGGCCCAGACUCC